GAUGAACGCUAGCUACAGGCUUAACACAUGCAAGUCGAGGGGCAGCGGGAUUGAAGCUUGCUUCAAUCGCCGGCGACCGGCGCACGGGUGAGUAACGCGUAUCCAACCUUCCGUACACUCAGGGAUAGCCUUUCGAAAGAAAGAUUAAUACCUGAUGGUAUGAUGAGAUUGCAUGAUAACAUCAUUAAAGAUUCAUCGGUGUACGAUGGGGAUGCGUUCCAUUAGGUAGUAGGCGGGGUAACGGCCCACCUAGCCUACGAUGGAUAGGGGUUCUGAGAGGAAGGUCCCCCACAUUGGAACUGAGACACGGUCCAAACUCCUACGGGAGGCAGCAGUGAGGAAUAUUGGUCAAUGGACGAGAGUCUGAACCAGCCAAGUAGCGUGAAGGAUGAAGGUCCUACGGAUUGUAAACUUCUUUUAUAAGGGAAUAAA
RNAcentral lists this ribosomal RNA (432 nucleotides) under uncultured bacterium. Its description in RNAcentral is "bacterial SSU rRNA". It matches the Rfam family "Bacterial small subunit ribosomal RNA", at positions 28 to 450 of the family's 1533-position model. The record is from RNAcentral.